AACGAACGCUGGCGGCAUGCCUAACACAUGCAAGUCGAACGAGACCUUCGGGUCUAGUGGCGCACGGGUGCGUAACGCGUGGGAACCUGCCCUUAGGGUCGGAAUAACUCCACGAAAGGGGUGCUAAUAGGGGAUAAUGUCUUCGGACCAAAGAUUUAUCGCCUUUGGAUGGGCCCGCGUUGGAUUAGCUAGUUGGUAGGGUAAAAGCCUACCAAGGCGACGAUCCAUAGCUGGUCUGUGAGGAUGAUCAGCCACACUGAGACUGAGACACGGCCCAGACUCCUACGGGAGGCAGCAGUGGGGAAUAUUGGACAAUGGGCGGAAGCCUGAUCCAGCAAUGCCGCGUGAGUGAUGAAGGCAUUAGGGUUGUAAAGCUCUUUUAACCGGGAUGAUAAUGACAGUACCGGGAGAAUAAGCUCCGGCUAACUCCGUG
Molecule: ribosomal RNA, 433 nt
Filed under: uncultured bacterium
Lineage: Bacteria
Description: partial 16S ribosomal RNA
Rfam family: Bacterial small subunit ribosomal RNA
Source: RNAcentral